UUACGGGAGGCAGCAGUGGGGAAUCUUGCGCAAUGGGGGAAACCCUGACGCAGCAACGCCGCGUGGGUGAUGAAGGCCUUCGGGUCGUAAAGCCCUGUCAGGUGGGAAGAACCUUGUUGAUGCCAAUACCAUCAACACUUGACGGUACCACCGGAGGAAGCACCGGCUAACUCCGUGCCAGCAGCCGCGGUAAUACGGAGGGUGCAAGCGUUGUUCGGAAUUAUUGGGCGUAAAGCGCGUGUAGGCGGUCACGUAAGUCAGAUGUGAAAUCCUUCCGCUUAACGGGAGAAGUGCAUUUGAAACUACAUGACUAGAGUACGGGAGAGGAGAGUGGAAUUCCCGGUGUAGAGGUGAAAUUCGUAGAUAUCGGGAGGAACACCAGUGGCGAAGGCGGCUCUCUGGAUCGAUACUGACGCUGAGACGCGAAAGCGUGGGGAGCAAACAGGAUUAGAUACCCUGGU
RNAcentral lists this ribosomal RNA (461 nucleotides) under uncultured bacterium. RNAcentral's name for it is "bacterial SSU rRNA". It matches the Rfam family "Bacterial small subunit ribosomal RNA", at positions 339 to 791 of the family's 1533-position model. The record is from RNAcentral.